UCCUCGCUCCGGUGGCCGUGCCGCCGAGCGCCUCCGCCGGAGUCCCGCCGCCGCCUCCCCGCGUCCCACGUCGGACCCCGCCGCCAGCGCCACCUUGGGAGCCCGCAGCAGCUCGCCGCCUCCCCACACCAGGUCGCCGCCUACUCUCUCCGUCGCCGAUCCGUCGUUCUCCGUGCCGCCAUUGCACAGAUCCGGCCGGGAGCAACCGGAUCCGGCCUCCGGCGCCGUCCCCGUUCCCCUCGACCCCGCCGUGCGUGCCCACCUUGCCAAGAUGCCGCCACCGCCGCCAUGGCCCUGCUCGAGGUCGAGCAGAGCAACCGCUCGACCGCCCGCCCUCGUCGUCGUCGUUGGCCAGGCCUGCUGCAGGCCCAGCUCCGCUCCACUUUCCCCUGGCCUAGCCGGCCUGCCCCAACCACCGCCGAAUGGGCCUCAGCCCGCUAAGGAGUCGCGGACACAGGAAGACCAACUGGAGUACGGCCGCGGUCUUUGUGUAACUCGACCACCUAAUCACUUGGAGCUUUUCGGUCCGAAGGGAAGGCCAGGUGGCCGUCGUCGACUACAAUGAUUCAUCUAUCCAUGUGCGCGACUCAUUGUAUCUACAUAUGUCAGUAUCAGAUUUUUCGAUUUGAACAUCUAUGUAUGCUGAAAUAAAAAUGCACGAGUCAGGAACAAUUUUUCC
Triticum dicoccoides is the source of this 679-nucleotide long non-coding RNA. RefSeq lists it as uncharacterized. Lineage: Eukaryota; Viridiplantae; Streptophyta; Magnoliopsida; Poales; Poaceae. The record is from RefSeq and is a predicted model, not a curated record. The transcript has 2 exons.